GUUAAUGUAGCUUAAUACAAAACGAAAGCACUAAAAAUUUUAGAUGGGAUUAUUUUUCCUACAAAAC
Molecule: transfer RNA, 67 nt
Filed under: Mus terricolor (Earth-colored mouse)
Lineage: Eukaryota; Metazoa; Chordata; Mammalia; Rodentia; Muridae
Description: partial tRNA-Phe
Source: RNAcentral